This 497-nucleotide ribosomal RNA is filed under the name uncultured bacterium. Its description in RNAcentral is "partial 16S ribosomal RNA". It matches the Rfam family "Bacterial small subunit ribosomal RNA", at positions 28 to 507 of the family's 1533-position model. The record is from RNAcentral.
GAUGAACGCUGGCGGCGUGCCUAAUACAUGCAAGUCGAGCGAACGGACGAGAAGCUUGCUUCUCUGAUGUUAGCGGCGGACGGGUGAGUAACACGUGGAUAACCUACCUAUAAGACUGGGAUAACUUCGGGAAACCGGAGCUAAUACCGGAUAAUAUUUUGAACCGCAUGGUUCAAAAGUGAAAGACGGUCUUGCUGUCACUUAUAGAUGGAUCCGCGCUGCAUUAGCUAGUUGGUAAGGUAACGGCUUACCAAGGCAACGAUGCAUAGCCGACCUGAGAGGGUGAUCGGCCACAGUGGAACUGCGACACGGUACAGACUCCUACGAGAGGCAGCAGUAGGGAAUCUUCCGCAAUGGGCGGAAGCCUGACGGAGCAACGCCGCGUGAGUGAUGAAGGUCUUCGGAUCGUAAAACUCUGUUAUUAGGGAAGAACAUAUGUGUAAGUAACUGUGCACAUCUUGACGGUACCUAAUCAGAAAGCCACGGCUAACUACGUG